GACGAACGCUGGCGGCGUGCUUAACACAUGCAAGUCGAACGGAAAGGCCCUGCUUUUGUGGGGUGCUCGAGUGGCGAACGGGUGAGUAACACGUGAGUAACCUGCCCUUGACUUUGGGAUAACUUCAGGAAACUGGGGCUAAUACCGGAUAGGAGCUCCUGCUGCAUGGUGGGGGUUGGAAAGUUUCGGCGGUUGGGGAUGGACUCGCGGCUUAUCAGCUUGUUGGUGGGGUAGUGGCUUACCAAGGCUUUGACGGGUAGCCGGCCUGAGAGGGUGACCGGCCACAUUGGGACUGAGAUACGGCCCAGACUCCUACGGGAGGCAGCAGUGGGGAAUAUUGCACAAUGGGCGGAAGCCUGAUGCAGCAACGCCGCGUGCGGGAUGACGGCCUUCGGGUUGUAAACCGCUUUCGCCUGUGACGAAGCGUGAGUGACGGUAAUGGGUAAAGAAGCACCGGCUAACUACGUGCCAGCAGCCGCGGUGAUACGUAGGGUGCGAGCGUUGUCCGGAUUUAUUGGGCGUAAAGGGCUCGUAGGUGGUUGAUCGCGUCGGAAGUGUAAUCUUGGGGCUUAACCCUGAGCGUGCUUUCGAUACGGGUUGACUUGAGGAAGGUAGGGGAGAAUGGAAUUCCUGGUGGAGCGGUGGAAUGCGCAGAUAUCAGGAGGAACACCAGUGGCGAAGGCGGUUCUCUGGGCCUUUCCUGACGCUGAGGAGCGAAAGCGUGGGGAGCGAACAGGCUUAGAUACCCUGGUAGUCCACGCUGUAAACGGUGGGUACUAGGUGUGGGGUCCAUUCCACGGGUUCCGUGCCGUAGCUAACGCUUUAAGUACCCCGCCUGGGGAGUACGGCCGCAAGGCUAAAACUCAAAGGAAUUGACGGGGCCCCGCACAAGCGGCGGAGCAUGCGGAUUAAUUCGAUGCAACGCGUAGAACCUUACCUGGGUUUGACAUGGAUCGGGAGUGCUCAGAGAUGGGUGUGCCUCUUUUGGGGUCGGUUCACAGGUGGUGCAUGGCUGUCGUCAGCUCGUGUCGUGAGAUGUUGGGUUAAGUCCCGCAACGAGCGCAACCCUUGUUCACUGUUGCCAGCACGUUAUGGUGGGGACUCAGUGGAGACCGCCGGGGUCAACUCGGAGGAAGGUGGGGAUGACGUCAAGUCAUCAUGCCCCUUAUGUCCAGGGCUUCACGCAUGCUACAAUGGCUGGUACAGAGAGUGGCGAGCCUGUGAGGGUGAGCGAAUCUCGGAAAGUCGGUCUCAGUUCGGAUUGGGGUCUGCAACUCGACCUCAUGCAAGUCGGAGUCGCUAGUAAUCGCAGAUCAGCAACGCUGCGGUGAAUACGUUCCCGGGGCU
RNAcentral lists this ribosomal RNA (1347 nucleotides) under uncultured bacterium. RNAcentral's name for it is "partial 16S ribosomal RNA". It matches the Rfam family "Bacterial small subunit ribosomal RNA", at positions 28 to 1381 of the family's 1533-position model. The record is from RNAcentral.